This 372-nucleotide long non-coding RNA is filed under the name Salvia miltiorrhiza (redroot sage). RNAcentral describes it as "long non-coding RNA (SMIL_LNC011856)". Lineage: Eukaryota; Viridiplantae; Streptophyta; Magnoliopsida; Lamiales; Lamiaceae. The record is from RNAcentral.
UUACUUCCGGUGCUGGGCCUAUUUUCUUUUUCAAGUGUUAUUUAAAGAGCCCAAAAUCCAUCACCCUAAAUAAAGAAGUAGGGCCUUACUUACAAAAGUUUAAUUACAAGGCCCAAUAAUAAUCUUGUCUCUCUCCGCGGUGAUUCGCGUCUCGAGUGGCAGAGCCGUUCACAACGCUGCUGCCCCUUUUUCCGGCCGAAGGUAGCACCGAGCUUCAACCUCUCAAUCACAUCAGCAAUAAUUAAUAGGAGAACUACAGCUAUCCAGAAACCAACUCUUUCAAUCCCAACUAAGAUUCAAUACAUAGAAAAAAAGUAUGGCACUCGCUUGCUCAAAUGGUAUUCAAUUUUUGGACAGCCAUAGUCAUUUUCU